GAUGAACGCUGGCGGCGUGCCUAAUACAUGCAAGUCGAACGAGGUGCUUUUGUAGCAGUACGAUAGUAUCCUGGUGGCGAACGGGGGAGUAAGUCGGUGGUGACCUACCCCCAUGUGUGGAAUAACAGUCCGCAAGGAUUGCUACUACCGCGUAUCGUUAGCGGGUUUAGAAGCUGAUGACUAAAUGAGCAAUUCGCGUUGGGAGGGACCUGCGUCCCAUCAGCUAGUUGGUGAGGGAAUGCCAAACCAAGGGUAGGUCGGGUAGGGGACCGGGGAGGGUGACCACCCAGGAUGGAACUGACACACGGGCCAUACACGUGCGGGUGGAGGCAGUAGGGAAUAUUGAAGAAUGGGCGAAAGCCGGAGGAAGCAACGGUGCGUGAAGGAGGCAGGCGGUCGGGUCGUAAAGUGCUUUUGUGGGGGAUGGGAAAUGACAGUAACCGAGGAAUAAGUCCCGGCUAACUACGUG
RNAcentral lists this ribosomal RNA (469 nucleotides) under uncultured bacterium. Its description in RNAcentral is "partial 16S ribosomal RNA". It matches the Rfam family "Bacterial small subunit ribosomal RNA", at positions 28 to 507 of the family's 1533-position model. The record is from RNAcentral.